Molecule: ribosomal RNA, 460 nt
Filed under: uncultured bacterium
Lineage: Bacteria
Description: partial 16S ribosomal RNA
Rfam family: Bacterial small subunit ribosomal RNA
Source: RNAcentral
CCUACGGGAGGCAGCAGUGAGGAAUAUUGGGCAAUGGACGCAAGUCGGAACCAGCCAUGCCGCGUGCAGGAAGACGGCUCUAUGAGUUGUAAACUGCUUUUGUACGAGGGUAAACGCAGAUACGCGUAUCUGUCUGAAAGUACCGUACGAAUAAGGAUCGGCUAACUCCGUGCCAGCAGCCGCGGUAAUACGGAGGAUUCAAGCGUUAUCCGGAUUUAUUGGGUUUAAAGGGUGCGUAGGCGGUCGGUUAAGUUAGAGGUGAAAUCCCGGGGCUCAACUUCGGAAUUGCAUCUGAUACUGUUCGGCUAGAGGGUAGUUGCGGUAGGCGGAAUGUAUGGUGUAGCGGUGAAAUGCUUAGAGAUCAUACAGAACACCGAUUGCGAAGGCAGCAUACCAAGCUACUUCUGACGUUGAGGCACGAAAGCGUGGGGAGCAAACAGGAUUAGAUACCCUAGUAGUC